This 406-nucleotide ribosomal RNA is filed under the name uncultured bacterium. RNAcentral's name for it is "partial 16S ribosomal RNA". It matches the Rfam family "Bacterial small subunit ribosomal RNA", at positions 30 to 526 of the family's 1533-position model. The record is from RNAcentral.
AUUGAACGCUGGCGGCAGGCCUAACACAUGCAAGUCGAACGAGUGGCGGACGGGUGAGUAAUGUCUGGGAAACUGCCUGAUGGAGGGGGAUAACUACUGGAAACGGUAGCUAAUACCGCAUACCAUCGGAUGUGCCCAGAUGGGAUUAGCUAGUAGGUGGGGUAACGGCUCACCUAGGCGACGAUCCCGACCUGGUCUGAGAGGAUGACCAGCCAUCCGGUAACGUAGACACGGUCCAGACUCCUACGGUAGGAAGCAGGGGGGAAUAUUGCACAAUGGGCGCAAGCCUGAUGCAGCCAUGCCGCUUGUAUGAAGAAGGCCUUCGGGUUGUAAAGUACUUUCAGCGGGGAGGCGUUACCCGCAGAAGAAGCACCGGCUAACUCCGUGCCAGCAGCCGCGGUAAUAC